This 21-nucleotide microRNA is filed under the name Raphanus sativus (radish). Its description in RNAcentral is "rsa-miRn27". Lineage: Eukaryota; Viridiplantae; Streptophyta; Magnoliopsida; Brassicales; Brassicaceae. The record is from RNAcentral.
UGAAACUGCAAACAUGAUCUA